ACAGAUAUGGUCUCGAAACUUAAAGAAUUUGGCGGUGUUUAAGUCUAGUUAGAGGAACCUGUGCUGUAAACGAUAGUCCACGAGUAUCUGUCUUUAUUUUGUAGAUCCAGUUUGUAUACCGCCGUCUAGUUAGGUAAUUUAAAUAUAAGUGUAUCCAAGUAAAUUGUUUUAGAAUGUUAGGUCAAGGUACAGCCAAUAAUAAAGUAGUCAUGGGUUACAUUAACAAAAAGUUAUAAUGAAUGACUUCUAGAAAUGAGAUGUCUGAAGGUGGAUUUAAAAGUAAGUUAUACACAUUAAGUAUAUCUGAUAUUAGCUCUUAAACAUGUACACAUCG
This 334-nucleotide ribosomal RNA is filed under the name Potamalpheops miyai. Its description in RNAcentral is "partial small subunit ribosomal RNA". The record is from RNAcentral. Lineage: Eukaryota; Metazoa; Arthropoda; Malacostraca; Decapoda; Alpheidae.